Long non-coding RNA from Hemicordylus capensis (graceful crag lizard), 2365 nucleotides. RefSeq lists it as uncharacterized. The transcript is spliced from 3 exons. NCBI's taxonomy places the organism in Eukaryota, Metazoa, Chordata, Lepidosauria, Squamata, Cordylidae. The record is from RefSeq and is a predicted model, not a curated record.
UCUUUUAAACUUACCAUCUCCAGGGGAGUUGUCUGAGUUUUUUGUGGGGGAUGACCCAGGCCACACAGAGGCCUAUUGUGCAGGCACGGCAGCCUCCAAAAUGGCCACCACGCCAAGGGGGAAAGGCUGAAUAGUGGCUGAAGAGGGAACCCAGUGGGGGGAGGGGGAUCCUCCACAGACUCCCCCCCCCCCACUGCCUCGGACUACUCCCCUGGAGGAGGUAAGUUUUUUUAAAAAAAUUAAAUUUUAAAAAAACCCCAAACACAUGAACCUCCCUGGACCGAACUGAACUGGGGAGGGGGAUUCGAGGGGGCGCCGGUCCGAACUGUCCUGGUCCGAUUCAGGUCCAGGUCAGACUCAAACUGAACUAGACCAGCCAGUUCCAUGCACACCCCUAAACCUAACCUCAGCUAAAUGCCAGGUCCAAAACCCGGGCCUGGUGUGGUGCAGGGCCAAUAUCGGGCUCUGUCCUGGUGCUCCACGCAUGCAACCUAGCCAGGCUGUGCUGCCCUGGACUGGGCUAGGCUGGGCACAUUAAUACCUUUCCUAUCUAUAUAUACUGGCUUGAUCUACAAGCUCAGGAUCAGCAGAAAUCAACUUGAGAAAUUCUGCUAGACAUCUCAAAGUAGUUUUGGCUUCCCUCAAUACCCUUCAGAUGUUUGGCUUGUGGAGAAACCCACCCUCAACACUUGUUUCAUGUUUUGCUUUACAUGAAAUUUCAGUAGCAGCUCUAACUGAUGUGCAAGGUGAAGUCUGGAAAGAACUUGGACUCAUUUGGUGUGAAACCCACUAUACUGAUGAAAGAAUGCUAUUAGUAUUAAAGCAUCUAGUCCUGUUUGUUAAGCAAAAAACUUCAUUGCCAGAAUCCACCAUGGUGGAUGUUACCAGAACCUAAUGCUUCUUUUGUCAACACAUUCUACUUAGCAACUGACCUUCAGUUCUUCUGGGAAUAAUUAACAUCAGUGAUGAAAGAUAUUUGUGUAUUCAGAACUGUAUGAAUAAUAGGCUGAUGUUAGUUCCUGUCUAGCUGUAGCCUAGCCACAUUUGCUCUUGCACGGGAAGGAAUGCCAAAAAGUGAUUACGUGUAAUUUUAUACAAAUUAGAUUUUGCUCCUCGCAGCUCUCUGGCACACAGUGCCUGCUUGCUGUGGCUGUUGCUUUAACUUUUCUGGUGGGUCUUUAGGUUUCUAGGUCAAUGAAAGGUCAAUCUUCAACAAAAGUUGAGUGAUGGGUACAAAUGUGGCAGGAUGCUUGUAGUUGUCCUCUUGCCACACAGGAAACCAGUGCAUCUGUCCAGGGCUGCGCAAGUAAUUACCUAUAUGAACGUUCCAGCAUGGAUUCCAGGCAACAGAUCAAUCAUAAAUGACAACUCUUUUGUCUGAUUUUGUGCUGUACGUGGAGAAUGCACGUGUGCCACAUUCAGAAGCAUAGCUCAAACAAGAUUUAAAUGAACAGGCUUCUGUCAGCAGUCUAGCUGCUGCAUGUUGCACCAAUGGAAGUUCCUGGACACUUUUCAAGGGCAACAGAGAGGGGAGAAGAGGUGCUGAAUCGGAAUUCUUCCAGGUCUCCAGCAUGAUCAAAGCCUAACCACUUCUUUUCAUUGGCCACAUGCACAUGUAACAUGAAACUGGAGGUCAAGGGGCCUCCAGCUUCAAUUUUUGUUCAUCUGAAUGCAGGCUUCAGAUAAGGAAAGAAAAUGGACCCAUGGUUUCCCUCCCUGGACAGUGAUUUGUACCUUCGGUUUGUAGCGAGGUUCACUGCCUGGACCUCUGGUUCCGCGGUGCCAGUGUUACAUCCGAAUGCUGACACCACAGUCUGGUUGCUUUGCAACUGGAGUUAAGGGAGGAAGCUCCUCCCACACUCCAGCUGCUAUUGGCUGCCGGGGCUGUCCUUCAAUAAUGAAGGAAACCCAGGCAGCCAGUUCACCCUCCUCCUUGCAGCCAAUGAGACUGAAGAGAGGAAGCUCUUCUGAACAUCCAAAUUUGGAUAGGAGAGUGGUGGAGAGGGGGCUGGAACUGCUAAGGGAGGGGAGUUCCAUGUUAUGUGUGAAUGCCGCCAUGGUCUCUUCCAAGCCUCCAUGGAAAUAAAGCAAUAGGUCUCUGGGGUCUUGAAGAGACCAGAUCAGGACUGUUCUUAUAAAGUUGCACAGGCUGCCAGUAUGUUUCUGGGUGAAGUAUAAAGCGGCUAUUCACACGAUCAGCAAAAAUUGGGCUAGGAGAGCCUAGUCCAAUUUUUGCUAAUCAUGAGAAACCAAUGGGCUCAGCUGCGAGCCCGGUGGUUCUCGAGCGGAUAACCGACUCCUGUAGCCCUCCACAUAGCCCGGGUUUGUGGAGCGAGCGCUCCGCAAACCUGGACUAUCUGGUUAU